This 240-nucleotide ribosomal RNA is filed under the name uncultured bacterium. Its description in RNAcentral is "partial 16S ribosomal RNA". It matches the Rfam family "Bacterial small subunit ribosomal RNA", at positions 336 to 593 of the family's 1533-position model. The record is from RNAcentral.
UUCCUACGGGACGCAGCAGUGGGGGAUAUUGCACAAUGGGGGAAACCCUAUUGCAGCGACGCCGCGUGGGUGAAGAAGCGCCUGGGCGCGUAAAGCCUUGUCAGCAGGGAAGAAAAUGACGGUACCUGAAGAAGAAGCCCCGGCUAACUACGUGCCAGCAGCCGCGGUAAUACGUAGGGGGCAAGCGUUAUCCGGAUUUACUGGGUGUAAAGGGCGUGUAGGCGGGGACGCAAGUCAGAU